This is a long non-coding RNA of Mauremys mutica (yellowpond turtle), 421 nucleotides long. RefSeq lists it as uncharacterized. The transcript is spliced from 3 exons. NCBI's taxonomy places the organism in Eukaryota, Metazoa, Chordata, Testudines, Geoemydidae. The record is from RefSeq and is a predicted model, not a curated record.
AGGGAGUACACUCCAUCAUAGUGACCCAAAGGUGAAAGCUUCUCAAAGGCCCUGAACCAGUUCAAUAAGAAGUCAGUUUACUGUACUUGGUGCACAGCAGCUGAUAGCCUGGCUUAGCAGAAUUCUUCUCCUGUUGGCCAACAUCUCUGCCACAAAGGCAGUGAUUCAAAAAGCCAAACCACUUCACAUGGUGAGACUGCACUGGUGUCUGGGGGAUGCAGCAGGCUAUCAGAGUUUGGCUGCUGCUAUUUGACUCACUUUCCUGAUUGAUCAGACCCUGAAGCAGUUUGAUGUUGAUAAUUCUUAUUGUGUUUGAAAACGUCAUUUACUUUGAAGAAAAUUUAAAGAUGGCCAAUGAAAAUGGUUCCGUCUAUGAGGAAGGGGAAAGAACAGAGGAAGAUGGAAUAUGAGACUGCAACAA